AAGUUUUAGUUUUAAGACUAAAAAGAAUAUAAUCUCUCCUUCUCCUGUGACUCAAAACAAAAGACGGAGAGGAGAGCACAGGAAUCAUGACUCAAAACAAACGAUGAGCGCACAAGAAACAUUUAUGCCGUCCAACUGCAGGAACAACACGAUCCUCCUGUUUAGACCGGUUUUCACAGAGCUUUGAGUUCUUCCGCUUUAAUGAAACAGCCUCAACAAAUCAAACAGAAAAUCACGGGAGUCAAUCACAUGGAGAUUGCAAGGCACACAUGACCAAAGAAGAAGAUGGAACGAAUUCUGAACAACCUCUAAAGCCGAUGAUGAUUACUAAUCUAGACUCACAAUAAUGAAGUGUGGUACAUAUACUUAGGGUGUUCCAAUCGUAUGACUGAGCAUCGUGAGUGGCUUGUCAACUUUGAUUCAAACAAGAAAAGCAUGGUGAAGUUUGCUGACAACAGGGCCACCCAGGCUGAAGGAACGUCGUUGUCAAAAGAAAAGAUGGAAGGCAAUCAAUAAUCACUAAUGUCCUCUAUGUCCCUGGUAUGACCACCAACCUGAUCAGUCUAGGCCAGCUCUUGGAGAGAGGCUUCUCAGCUACCUCAGGCAAAGAUUUUCUGGAGGUUCAUGACAGAGCAAGAAAAUUGGUGAUGAAAGCACCCUUGGCCAAAAAUAGAACCUUCAAGGUAAAACACCAUAGAAUCUCAAUGUUUCUAUGUUGCUAUUCUGAAACAUGAUUCAUGAUUGUGGCACCUUAGGUUAGGUUAUUUGAACUUUAGGGAUAUGAAACAAUUGUGGUCUAAAGGAAUGGUAAGAGGAUUUCCAUUAGUUUAAACCCCUAAGUAAAUCUACCCCUAAGUAAAUCGGUGAUAAUUACUCGAUAAGCAAGCAACCUAGAAACUCCUUUAACAAGUACAACACCUCUAGAGCCAAUGAAAUAUUACAUGUAGUUUAUUCUGAUGCAUGUGGACCCUUUGAUAGUCCAUCACUAGGAGAGAAUAAGUAUUUCGUAUCCUUUGUUGAUUGAUGACUUGAGCAAGAAGUUAUGGAUCUACCUAAUCAAGGCAAAGAGUGAUGUGUACAAGAUAUUCAGAGAAUUCAAGGUUCUUGUGGAGAAGCAGUCAGGAAAGCAUAUCAAAACUCUAAGAACAUAUGGUGGUGGGGAGUUUACAUCAAGAGAAUUUGAAGAUUUUUACAGGGAACAAGGUAUAGUGCAUGAAGUGACUGCACCUUACCCACCCCAACACAAUGGCACUGCAGAAAGAAGAAACAACUAUUCUAAACAUGGUUAGAAGCAUGCUAGCUUUUGGGGUGAAGCAGCCAUGACUGCAGGAUAUGUGUUGAACAUGUGCCCAACUAAAAGACUUGGCUUGAUGGUCCCAGAAGAAGCUUGGUCAGGAAACAAGCCCUCAGUCAAACACUUUAAAAUUUUUGGGUCUAUAUGCUACAGACAUGUAUGUACCUGAUUAAAGAAGAAAGAAGUUAGAUGAUAAAAGUGAGAAGGUGAUCUUUGUAGGCUACACUCAACUGGCUCAUAUAAACUAUACAACCCAGAAAAUCAACAAGUCACAUUCAACUGGGAUGUCUAUUUUGAUGAAGCAUAUUCAUGGGAAGAGUUCCAACCAAAAGCAAAGACAAGCUCCAACAUCCAGCUUGAACGGGAAGAUACUGAGGCAAGCGUAGAAGCACACUGUGAAGCAGCAGAAAAUGAUCUACAAAGAGAAGAAGGUAGACCUACAAGGACAAAACAGCCUUCAUCAAGGCUGAGGGACUAUCAUGUAUACUCUGACGGCACUAUCUCAGAAGAAGGUGAUCUGGUACAGCAUAGGGCUCUCAUGGCAGAUAUGGAACCUAUAUCUUAUGAGGAAGCAAUGUCAAAGGAAGUACGGAGACUAGCCAUGGAAGAAGAGGUGAAGAGUAUUGAAAAGAAAAAUACUCGGGAAAUGAUAAAUCAGCCUCUAAACAAAAGGCCCAUAGCUGUCAGGGUCCCCUAUAUCCUGGAGUUCUAAGAAGCAGACAGUGGUAGCCUUGUCUACAUGUGAGGCUGAAUAUAUUGCUGCCUGUGCAACAGCCUUUCAAGCCUUGUGGCUGUCAUCAUUACUUGGAGAACUGAAGGUGAUCAAUAUUCAAUGAUGAUGCAUUGGAUCUGUUAGUAGAUAGCAAAUCAGCAAUUGAUCUGGCCAGAAAUCCUGUGUCACACGGAAGAAGCAAACACGUUGACACCAAGUAUCGUUUUCUUAGAGACCAAGUAAAUCAAAAUUUAGUAUUGCAGAACUGGAAUACAGCUAGCAGACAUCAUGACUAAGUCCUUGAAGGGCCGUGCUUGAUAUAAGGGUGUUCUUGAGCAAAUAAAUGGAAACGGUUAUUUUGACAUGUCGACAGGUGAUGCCGAAACAUACAUCAUACUAGAGAAUAUGAAAAAUCAAAGUUAAAGUAAACUAUAUAUUUCUAGAUAAGCUAAAGUAUACUACACUGUACUGCAUGAUAUUUCUAGAUAAGCUACUAAAGUAUACUACACUGUAUUGCAUCAUAUUUCUAGAUUGGCUAAAGUAUACUACACUGCACUGUACAUCAUAUUUCUAUAUAGGCUAAAGUAUACUACACUGUACUGCAUCAUAUUUCUAGAUAGGCUAAAGUAUACUACACUGUACAUCAUAUUUCUAGAUAGGCUAAAGUAUACUACACUGUACUGCAUCAUAUUUCUAGAUAAGCUAAAGUAUACUACACUGCAUCAUAUUUCUAGAUAGGCUAAAAUAUACUACACCAUACUGUACAUCAUAUUUCCAACUGCUUGAGUGAGUAGAAUGCAGAUUGACUUGCAUAUUAGGAGGCCUUCUCAAUCUUGUUGAGGGUCAGCUUUGUUGACUGCUUCCUCAGCCUCCGACAAGGCUUUCUCAGCCUUGUUGAGGGUGGAUUCAGCCUUGUUGGAGGCUUUCUCCGCCUUGUCGGAGGCCUGAUCAGCUCUUUCGAGAGUCAAUUCUGCCUUGAUGAUGGUCAAUGAAGCCAUGUUUAGUGUCAAUUCGGCUUUGUUGGAGGCCAUCUCGGCCUUGUGGGAGGCCUCCUCAGCCUUUUGGGAGGCCUUCUCAGCCGCGUCGACGAUUAAUUCUGCUUUAUCGAGGGUUAGGUCGGCCUUGUCGAGGGCCCAUUCAGCCCUGCGGAGUGUCAAUUCAGCUUGGUGGAGUGUUAGUUCAACUUGGUUGGAGGCUUUUUCAAUUUUGUCUAGGGUCAAUUCAUCCUUUUUGUGGGUCAAAUCAGCCCUGUGCGCAGCGUCGUCUUCUACUGCAUGUGCGCGAUUCUGAGCUUUGAAUUUACGCAAAAACGAGAUUCGUUUGCGUAGUUCGGUAACCAUUUGAUGGCCUUCGUCAACGAUUUGUUCGAAAGUGAGAAUGAAGAUUGCUAAAGCAACAAAGAAGCAUAGCAGGAGGCUAGUCCAUGCAGUCCCGUCUGAAACACCCUCGAGUAUGAAAAAAGAGCCAAUUCCAUUGAUUGUCAUUAGGACAAGAGUCUGGAUUAUGCCUUCAUUAGGACGGCUAAUUGCCAUUGCCAAUAGAGAGAAGUAUUGGGUUACAUUGUAGGAGUGCACCAGGGUAGUCAAGAUCUCUUGAAGCUUCUUUUUAGAAUCAUCAUCAGAGGUCUGGGCAUAAAGAACUGCCACAGUUCCGUGAAAAACGAACAUUAUGUAAGUGAAGUAAACAGAAGCUUUGAAUAACUCUGGCAUAGUUUCUUGAAGAAAAAAAGACUCUUAGAAGGUGAUUUCUUGAAGAAAGGGUGAAGAUGAAAAAGAUGGGUGAAGAUGAAAAAGAAAGAUGAAGAUUUGGUGUAAAUGAAAGUUGGUGAGAAAUGAAAGUGUGUGUAAUUCAGAGGAGAGCUUAAUGAAUUUGGAAAUUGGGUAAGUGUAUAGUUUAGAGAGAUAUUUAAUCAAAUCAUAUUAAUUAAAUAUUUUGAGAUAUAUUUAAAAAAUUAACUAUAAAAAAUUUAAGCAAUAAGAAGAAGUGGAAGUGAAGUGCUUUUGUCUGAGAAUAAAGCAGGAAUAUUUCUGGUCCGUGUGUGUUGCAGCAGGUUUAGUUUUGGAGGUUUAAGAUUUGACUUCCAAUUAAUUACACAAAUCUGUACGAGCCUGUUUCUGUAGAUUUCAACUGUUUUGAUCAGUUGAUAGGUUAGGAUAGGGGUGGACAGAAAACAACCGUCCGACGGAAUCCGACCGGUCCGAUGGAAGAUUCUUGAAGCGGAUCGGUUUUAGUCGGUUUGCGGGUAGCGGCGGAAGGAGGAAAAGGGUUGAUGCGGGCAUACAUGGUCGGAUUCGGAGUUUGGUUUUGGGCCCGUCGGAAACCGAAUCCGACCGAAGAUAAUAGUUAAUGAUGGUUAGGCCCAACGCAUUCUCAGAAUCCCCAGCCCAAUCUGAAAUUCUAUAAGCUGAUGCUUCCAAUUUUGCAAACCCUAAUCCCUUCCUUAGCCCAAUAUGAAAUUCUAUAUAUUCUUCAAUUGUAGCGAACCCUAAUCCAUCUCCCAGCGGCCGUCGAUUCUUGCUUUUGUUAGUUCGUUGUUGUUGUGCUAUGAACCGCUGUCUCCCACCACCAUCUCCAAUACCGCGGUUCCAUUCAUCUCAGAUUAGAUUAUGAUUAAGAUCUUGAUUCAAGGAUGCAUCAGAGUGGGUUAAAAUAAAAAGAACCUCGUGAAAAUGCAACAAAUGGCUAUAUAUUCAUUCACACAGAAGGCGGUCUAAAUUAGCUAAGAAUCGCGGAACAUAUUCAAACAAGUCAUAAUCUACGGGGGAUUAUAACAAGGAUUUAUUGAAGAUUAGCAAGGAAGAGUUUUUUUUUGGAUGUCCAUUGAAUUGAAUUGAAUUGAAUGUGAAUGUUUUUCUUCUAUUUGGGUAAUUUUUAUUGAGUAUUACUUCUA
Long non-coding RNA from Vicia villosa (hairy vetch), 4896 nucleotides. RefSeq lists it as uncharacterized. The record is from RefSeq and is a predicted model, not a curated record. NCBI's taxonomy places the organism in Eukaryota, Viridiplantae, Streptophyta, Magnoliopsida, Fabales, Fabaceae. The transcript is spliced from 7 exons.